AGGACGAACGCUGGCGGCGUGCUUAACACAUGCAAGUCGAGCGAGGCCCUCUCUUCGGAGAGGUGCCCUAGCGGCGAACGGGUGAGUAACACGUGGGCAACCUGCCCCUAGCACUGGGAUAAGCCCGGGAAACCGGGUCUAAUACCGGAUAUGACCUUCAAGGGCAUCCUCGAAGGUGUAAAGGAUUCUGGCUAGGGAUGGGCCCGCGGCCUAUCAGCUUGUUGGUGGGGUAAUGGCCCACCAAGGCAACGACGGGUAGCCGGCCUGAGAGGGCGACCGGCCACACUGGGACUGAGACACGGCCCAGACUCCUACGGGAGGCAGCAGUGGGGAAUAUUGCACAAUGGGCGAAAGCCUGAUGCAGCGACGCCGCGUGAGGGAUGACGGCCUUCGGGUUGUAAACCUCUUCAGCUCCGACGAAGCGAAAGUGACGGUAGGAGCAGAAGAAGCACCGGCCAACUACGCGCCAGCAGCCGC
Molecule: ribosomal RNA, 477 nt
Filed under: uncultured bacterium
Lineage: Bacteria
Description: SSU rRNA
Rfam family: Bacterial small subunit ribosomal RNA
Source: RNAcentral